RNAcentral lists this ribosomal RNA (828 nucleotides) under Oenococcus oeni. Its description in RNAcentral is "bacterial SSU rRNA". It matches the Rfam family "Bacterial small subunit ribosomal RNA", at positions 669 to 1497 of the family's 1533-position model. Lineage: Bacteria; Bacillati; Bacillota; Bacilli; Lactobacillales; Lactobacillaceae. The record is from RNAcentral.
CCAUGUGUAGCGGUGAAAUGCGUAGAUAUGUGGAAGAACACCAGUGGCGAAAGCGGCUUGCUAGAUCGUAACUGACGUUGAGGCUCGAAAGUAUGGGUAGCAAACGGGAUUAGAUACCCCGGUAGUCCAUACCGUAAACGAUGGGUGCUAGUUGUUAAGAGGUUUCCGCCUCCUAGUGACGUAGCAAACGCAUUAAGCACCCCGCCUGAGGAGUACGGCCGCAAGGCUAAAACUUAAAGGAAUUGACGGGGACCCGCACAAGCGGUGGAGCAUGUGGUUUAAUUCGAAGAUACGCGAAAAACCUUACCAGGUCUUGACAUACCAAUGAUCGCUUUUGUAAUGAAAGCUUUUCUUCGGAACAUUGGAUACAGGUGGUGCAUGGUCGUCGUCAGCUCGUGUCGUGAGAUGUUGGGUUAAGUCCCGCAACGAGCGCAACCCUUGUUAUUAGUUGCCAGCAUUUAGUUGGGCACUCUAAUGAGACUGCCGGUGAUAAACCGGAGGAAGGUGGGGACGACGUCAGAUCAUCAUGCCCCUUAUGACCUGGGCAACACACGUGCUACAAUGGGAAGUACAACGAGUCGCAAACCGGCGACGGUAAGCUAAUCUCUUAAAACUUCUCUCAGUUCGGACUGGAGUCUGCAACUCGACUCCACGAAGGCGGAAUCGCUAGUAAUCGCGAAUCAGCAUGUCGCGGUGAAUACGUUCCCGGGUCUUGUACACACCGCCCGUCAAAUCAUGGGAGUCGGAAGUACCCAAAGUCGCUUGGCUAACUUUUAGAGGCCGGUGCCUAAGGUAAAAUCGAUGACUGGGAUUAAGUCGUAACAAGGU